Molecule: non-coding RNA, 82 nt
Organism: Ailuropoda melanoleuca (giant panda)
Lineage: Eukaryota; Metazoa; Chordata; Mammalia; Carnivora; Ursidae
Source: Rfam
UUGUGCAGUGCCCCACUCAAAAAAGUGCCAUUCAGGUAUACUAAAAUAUGAUUGGCACCAUUUUGAGUGUGGUAAUUCACAA